Coturnix japonica (Japanese quail) is the source of this 188-nucleotide non-coding RNA. The record is from RefSeq and is a predicted model, not a curated record. Lineage: Eukaryota; Metazoa; Chordata; Aves; Galliformes; Phasianidae.
AACUGAUUUAUAUUUUGUUUCAGAGUGCAUCCUCAUAUGGAACUCUUACCUACGGCCAGUCUGUUCCUGCAAGUAGUUCGGAUUCUAGUAAGAAGGUAGUGGUCAUUCCCAACAGCAACCCAUAUCCACCUGUGCGUCAUACCUACCCGCAGAGUUUGGGCAAUUCUGCUACUAGGAUCAUAAUACAG